GUCGUGGGUAGAAUCAUGCUUUUCUCUGUAUGCUCUUUUAGGGCCUGACAAUAGUAGCCUAAGUGGUACGGUAUGCUAACGUCUUAAGUAGUGUACAGCCUCAAGAUGCAUCUUUCGCUUCACUACGACUAUUCUGUUCACCCUGGAAUUUCUCCAGCAUUCCUUUUUUGAGAACGUUUUUGUUCUUGUUAGUAUGUUUUAAGGCUUAUUUCACACAAAUUGACACUUUUAUCCGAAGCGACUUACGAAUGAGAAAAUGCAAGCAAAGCGAUAUAUCAAGCGGAGAACGAUACAGGCAAAGCGCGCAGAGUAGAGGUGUAAGAGCCAGAACAAUUCGCCAUCCUUGGGCAGGUCAGAGAUCAGGUCUGAAUGACAGGAAAAGAGAGCCACCCUUAACAACAAGGAACAGAGGAGAUGGACCUUGGCAGCCAGGGGUUAUAAAUACCCACUCUGGUCUAGUAAUGCAGAUCAGAACAGCAGAGGAAGCAGCACACUGGAAAAGUUUAUCCUGUGGGGAAAAUCCAGAAAUCCAGAGCGCCGUAGACCAACUGAAUAAAUGAUGCAGGGGCAGUGGUGGCUUCUGGGUUACUGAUCAGAAGGUCAGGGGUUCAAGCUGCCACUGUUGGGCCCUUGAGCAAGGUCCUUAACCCUCUCUGCUGUAUCAUGGCUGACCCCAACUUCCCGGCAUGCUAGGUUUGAAAGAAAGAAAGGAUGUCGUACUGGAAAUCACAAAGGCCACCCCAUGUAUACGAGUCAAAGAAGCUUCCUGAGCUUUGAAGAUUUUUGCAUUAUGUAAAGAAGCCUGCGAUUAAAAGGGUCACGGGGAAACCUGGAGUCUAUCCCAGGGAGCAUCGGGUACAAGGCGGGGUACACCCUGGACAGGGUGCCAGUCCAUCGCAGGGCACAAUCACAUACACACUCACACACCCAUUCAUACACUACGGACACUUUAGACACGCCGAUCAGCCUACCGUGCAUGUCUUUGGACUGGGGGAGGAAACCUGAGUACCCGGAGGAAACCCCCGCAGCACGGGGAGAACAUGCAAACUCCGCACACACAGGGCCACGGUGGGAAUCGAACAUUAUGCAUUAUGUAAACAAACCAGCAUUUAAAGGGUUACAAUUCUGAAAAUGACUGAAUGUUUGGUAAC
Molecule: long non-coding RNA, 1151 nt
Organism: Ictalurus punctatus (channel catfish)
Lineage: Eukaryota; Metazoa; Chordata; Actinopteri; Siluriformes; Ictaluridae
Source: Ensembl